CUACGGGAGGCUGCAGUGAGGAAUAUUGCACAAUGGGGGGAACCCUGAUGCAGCAACGCCGCGUGGAGGAUGGCGCAUUUCGGUGUGUAAACUCCUUUUAUAUGUCAAGAAAAUGACGGUAGCAUAUGAAUAAGCACCGGCUAACUCCGUGCCAGCAGCCGCGGUAAUACGGAGGGCGCAAGCGUUACUCGGAAUCACUGGGCGUAAAGGACGCGUAGGCGGGUUGGAAAGUCAGGUGUGAAAUCCUACAGCUUAACUGUAGAACUGCACUUGAAACUUCUAAUCUAGAGUAUGGGAUGGGGAGAUGGAAUUAGUGGUGUAGGGGUAAAAUCCGUAGAUAUCACUAGGAAUACCUAAAGCGAAGGCGAUCUCCUGGAACAUUACUGACGCUAAGGCGUGAAAGCGUGGGGAGCAAACAGGAUUAGAUACCCGCGUAGUC
This 439-nucleotide ribosomal RNA is filed under the name uncultured bacterium. RNAcentral's name for it is "partial 16S ribosomal RNA". It matches the Rfam family "Bacterial small subunit ribosomal RNA", at positions 339 to 795 of the family's 1533-position model. The record is from RNAcentral.